RNAcentral lists this long non-coding RNA (215 nucleotides) under Brassica napus (rape). Its description in RNAcentral is "long non-coding RNA (BNAP_LNC000747)". The record is from RNAcentral. Lineage: Eukaryota; Viridiplantae; Streptophyta; Magnoliopsida; Brassicales; Brassicaceae.
CUAGUGGUUUUCCGGCGCUACGCGCCGGGUUUGUAUGUUUUAUUUUUAAGUAAAUUUAUAAUUUACUUAAUGGUCUUAGUAAAGAAAAUAUGUUAAAAAGAAUGAAGACGAAAAUAUGUUAAAAAUGAUAUUUUUUCCCGAUCCAAUUGAUAGUGAUUAGUGACCAUAGUGUAUGACUUUGGUUUGAAGUUCUUAGUGGCCAAUACCUUGGACGC